UACAGAGGGUGCAAGCGUUGUUCGGAAUUAUUGGGCGUAAAGCGCACGUAGGCGCUUCGCAAGUCGGAUGUGAAAUCCCUCGGCUCAACCGAGGACGUGCAUACGAAACUGCGAAGCUUGAGUACUGAAGAGGAUCGCGGAAUUCCCGGUGUAGAGGUGAAAUUCGUAGAUAUCAGGAGGAACACCGAUGGCGAAGGCAACCGCCUGGGCCUGUACUGACGCUGAGACACGAAAGCGUGGGGAGCAAACAGG
Molecule: ribosomal RNA, 252 nt
Filed under: uncultured bacterium
Lineage: Bacteria
Description: partial 16S ribosomal RNA
Rfam family: Bacterial small subunit ribosomal RNA
Source: RNAcentral